Long non-coding RNA from Aquila chrysaetos chrysaetos, 300 nucleotides. RefSeq lists it as uncharacterized. The transcript has 3 exons. The record is from RefSeq and is a predicted model, not a curated record. NCBI's taxonomy places the organism in Eukaryota, Metazoa, Chordata, Aves, Accipitriformes, Accipitridae.
GCCAUGGUUGCCCCCAGUGAUCCAUUUUACAUGGGAGAAUGAGGAGGAGAAAUGCAGAAUCCGGAAGCAUGUGCAAAGCCCCUUUCUUGAGAUACCCUGAGGAAAGGCCCUGUAUGGCUCAGCGAUCCUGGAAAACACAUUUAGUUUUGUAUGCCAUCCUGUGAUGUGUGCAAGGAUGACAGAAAAAACUGUCUGCUUUCUGACAAGGGCAAUUCGGCUUAUCUGUGCCUCCCUGCGUGCCUUGGGACUCCAAAGAAACACCAGACACUUUGGUGCUAUGCACGAAGGCAAGCGAGGAAC